GACGGAGGGGGCUAGCGUUGUUCGGAAUUACUGGGCGUAAAGGGCGCGUAGGCGCCAAUCAAGUUAGGCGUGAAAUCCCUGGGCUUAACCCAGGAACUGCGUUUAAUACUGAUUGGCUAGAGAUUGGUAGAGGAAAGUGGAAUUCCUAGUGUAGAGGUGAAAUUCGUAGAUAUUAGGAAGAACACCAGAGGCGAAGGCGACUUCUGGGCCAAUACUGACGCUGAGGCGCGACAGCGUGGGGAUCAAACAGG
Molecule: ribosomal RNA, 251 nt
Filed under: uncultured bacterium
Lineage: Bacteria
Description: partial 16S ribosomal RNA
Rfam family: Bacterial small subunit ribosomal RNA
Source: RNAcentral